RNAcentral lists this ribosomal RNA (505 nucleotides) under uncultured bacterium. RNAcentral describes it as "bacterial SSU rRNA". It matches the Rfam family "Bacterial small subunit ribosomal RNA", at positions 24 to 518 of the family's 1533-position model. The record is from RNAcentral.
UCAGGAUGAACGCUAGCUACAGGCUUAACACAUGCAAGUCGAGGGGCAGCAGGAUCUUAGCUUGCUAAGAUUGCUGGCGACCGGCGCACGGGUGAGUAACGCGUAUCCAACCUUCCCCUUAGUAGGGCAUAGCCCGUAGAAAUGCGGAUUAAUACCCUAUGUUAUUCGUCGAGGACAUCUGAAGUGAAUCAAAGGUUUACCGCUAAGGGAUGGGGAUGCGUCCGAUUAGGCAGCAGGCGGGGUAACGGCCCACCUGGCCAACGAUCGGUAGGGGUUCUGAGAGGAAGGUCCCCCACAUUGGAACUGAGACACGGUCCAAACUCCUACGGGAGGCAGCAGUGAGGAAUAUUGGUCAAUGGGCGAGAGCCUGAACCAGCCAAGUAGCGUGCAGGAUGACGGCCCUAUGGGUUGUAAACUGCUUUUAUAUAGGGAUAAAGUCACCCACGUGUGGGUGUUUGUAGGUACUAUAUGAAUAAGGACCGGCUAAUUCCGUGCCAGCCGCUGC